This 253-nucleotide ribosomal RNA is filed under the name uncultured bacterium. RNAcentral's name for it is "partial 16S ribosomal RNA". It matches the Rfam family "Bacterial small subunit ribosomal RNA", at positions 524 to 776 of the family's 1533-position model. The record is from RNAcentral.
GACGUAGGGCGCGAGCGUUGUCCGGAUUUAUUGGGCGUAAAGAGCUCGUAGGCGGCUUGUCGCGUCGGUUGUGAAAUCCCGUGGCUCAACUGCGGGCGUGCUGCCGAUACGGGCAGGCUGGAGUUCGGUAGGGGAGACUGGAAUUCCUGGUGUAGCGGUGAAAUGCGCAGAUAUCAGGAGGAACACCGGUGGCGAAGGCGGCAUCCUGGACCGACACUGACACUGAGGAGCGAAAGCCAGGGGAGCAAACGGG